AACGAACGCUGGCGGCGCGUCUUAAGCAUGCAAGUCGGACGGCAAGGGUAGCAAUACCCCUAGAGUGGCGGACUGGUGAGUAACGCGUGGGUGACCUACCCUCGAGAUGGGGAUAGCCAUUAGAAAUAGUGGAUAAUACCGAAUACGCUCGUGACCCUGUGGGGAUACGAGGAAAUCAGGCUACGGCCUGGCUCGAGGAUGGGCCCGCGUCCCAUUAGCUAGUUGGUGAGGUAACGGCCCACCAAGGCGACGAUGGGUAUCCGGCCUGAGAGGGUGUACGGACACAUUGGGACGGAGAUACGGCCCAAACUCCUACGGGAGGCAGCAGCUAAGAAUAUUCCGCAAUGGACGAAAGUCUGACGGAGCGACGCCGCGUGGAUGAAGAAGGCCGAAAGGUUGUAAAAUCCUUUUGCUGAUGAAGAAUAAGUGGUGUAGGGAAUGACAUCAUGAUGACAUUAGUCGGUGAAUAAGCCCCGGCUAACUACGUGCCAGCAGCCGCGGUAA
This 504-nucleotide ribosomal RNA is filed under the name uncultured bacterium. Its description in RNAcentral is "partial 16S ribosomal RNA". It matches the Rfam family "Bacterial small subunit ribosomal RNA", at positions 29 to 523 of the family's 1533-position model. The record is from RNAcentral.